RNAcentral lists this ribosomal RNA (840 nucleotides) under Bacillus licheniformis. RNAcentral's name for it is "bacterial SSU rRNA". It matches the Rfam family "Bacterial small subunit ribosomal RNA", at positions 51 to 869 of the family's 1533-position model. The record is from RNAcentral. Lineage: Bacteria; Bacillati; Bacillota; Bacilli; Caryophanales; Bacillaceae.
CUANAAUGCAGUCGAGCGGACAGAUGGGAGCUUGCUCCCUGAUGUUAGCGGCGGACGGGUGAGUAACACGUGGGUAACCUGCCUGUAAGACUGGGGAUAACUCCGUGGAAACCGGGGCUAAUACCGGAUGCUUGAUUGAACCCCAAGGUUCAAUUAUAAAAGGUGGCUUUGGACUACCACUUACAUUAAGGACCCACGAGCGCAUAACCACUUGGUGGGUAACGGCUCACCAAGGCAACGAUGCGUAGCCGACCUGAGAGGGUGAUCGGCCACACUGGGACUGAAACACGGCCCAAACUCCUACGGGAGGCAGCAGUAGGGAAUCUUCCGCAAUGGACGAAAGUCUGACGGAGCAACGCCGCGUGAGUGAUGAAGGUUUUCGGAUCGUAAAACUCUGUUGUUAGGGAAGAACAAGUACCGUUCGAAUAGGGCGGUACCUUGACGGUACCUAACCAGAAAGCCACGGCUAACUACGUGCCAGCAGCCGCGGUAAUACGUAGGUGGCAAGCGUUGUCCGGAAUUAUUGGGCGUAAAGCGCGCGCAGGCGGUUUCUUAAGUCUGAUGUGAAAGCCCCCGGCUCAACCGGGGAGGGUCAUUGGAAACUGGGGAACUUGAGUGCAAAAAAGGAAAGUGGAAUUCCACGUGUAGCGGUGAAAUGCGUAAAGAUGUGGAGGAACACCAGUGGCGAAGGCGACUCUCUGGUCUGUAACUGACCCUAAGGCGCGAAAGCGUGGGGAGCGAACAGGAUUAGAUACCCUGGUAGUCCACCCCGUAAACGAUGAGUGCUAAGUGUUAGAGGGUUUCCGCCCUUUAGUGCUGCNNCAAACNCNUUANNCNNUC